GAAUCAUUGGGCGUAAAGGGUGCGUAGGCGGCGAUGUUAGUCUUCUGUAAAAUCUUUCGGCUCAACCGAGAGUCCGCAGGGGAAACGGCAUUGCUAGAGGACGGGAGAGGUUUCUGGAGCUCAUAGCGUAGCGGUGAAAUGCGUUGAUAUUAUGGGGAACACCAAAAGCGAAGGCAAGAAACUGGCCCGCUCCUGACGCUGAAGCACGAAAGCGUGGGUCGCGAGUGGGAUUAGAUACCCCAGUAGUCCACGCCCUAAACGAUGAUCUCUCGCUUUGAGGAGUAUCGACCCUCUUCGAGGCUAAGCAAACGCGUUAAGAGAUCCGCCUGGGUAGUACGGCCGCAAGGUUGAAACUCAAAGGAAUAGACGGGGACUUGCACAAGCGGUGGAACAUGUGGCUCAAUUCGACGAUAAACGAAGAACCUUACCAGGCCUAGAAAUCCAAACGAAGACCCGCAGAAACGUGGGUCGCCGAAAGGCGGUUGGACAGGUGCUGCAUGGCUGUCGUCAGUUCGUGGUUUGAACUGUUCUCUUCAGUGAGGUAACGAACGCAACCCCUGUUGUCUGUUAUAAGUGUCAGACGAGACCGCCCAGCCCUUUGCACAUGAAUACGUGCGCGCAAGCGAAACGAUUCGUGGUCAGAAGGCUGGGAGGAAGGUGGGGAUGACGCCAAGUCAGCAUGGCCCUCUGACGGCCUGGGCUGCACACGUGUUACAAUCGCAUCUACAACGGGACGCAAUAUCGCGAGAUGGAGCAAACCCUUAUAAAAGAUGCGCCAGUUCGGAUUGGAGUCUGCAACUCGACUCCAUGAAGCCGGAAUCGCUAGUAAUCGCAGGUCAGCUAUACUGCGGUGAAUACGU
This 860-nucleotide ribosomal RNA is filed under the name uncultured Microgenomates group bacterium. RNAcentral's name for it is "bacterial SSU rRNA". It matches the Rfam family "Bacterial small subunit ribosomal RNA", at positions 548 to 1371 of the family's 1533-position model. The record is from RNAcentral.